Molecule: small RNA, 28 nt
Filed under: Bombyx mori (domestic silkworm)
Lineage: Eukaryota; Metazoa; Arthropoda; Insecta; Lepidoptera; Bombycidae
Description: ovarian small RNA-25112
Source: RNAcentral
UCACCAGUUUGGUAGGUGUUGAUGGGUC